RNAcentral lists this long non-coding RNA (2284 nucleotides) under Ananas comosus (pineapple). RNAcentral describes it as "long non-coding RNA (ACOM_LNC035579)". Lineage: Eukaryota; Viridiplantae; Streptophyta; Magnoliopsida; Poales; Bromeliaceae. The record is from RNAcentral.
CGUACAGUUUAGUAUAUUACACACAAAUAAUAUAAUAUAUUACAAUAUAUUAUAAAAAUUAUACAAUAUAUGUACAAACGGUGCAUAUUUUAUACUAUUUAUACAUAUAUUUCACUAUUUCUGUAAAUGUUGCACUAUUAUGAGAGAAUGUUGCACCAUUUAGAUGUGUGUUGCACUCUUUCUUUUUGAAAAUUAAAUUUCAUUACAUAUUAAAUAAAGUGUCAAACUUCUUAAAAAUGACAACUGCUAAGCCAUAAUUACAGGCAUGUACCUUUCUCGUGAAACGAGAAACAUCAUUCAAGAGAAAAUAAAAAAAUAAAGAUUAAUUAAUAAGAUGAAAGAGUGCAAUAUCCUCUCAAAUAGUGCAACAAUCUCUUCAAAAUAGUGCAAUAUCUAUAUAAUUAGUGCAACGUAUGUAUUGUUAAUACAUUUUGCAUGGUUUUUACACUAAGUUACUUACAGUUUAGUAUAUUACGCUAAAAUAAUAUAAUAUAUUACAAUAUAUUUUAAAAAUUAUACAAUAUAUAUAUACAAACGGUGCAUAUUUUACACUAUUUAUACAUAUAUUUUCACCAUUUGUGUCAAUGUUGCACUAUUAUAAGAGAAUGUUGCACCAUUUAUAUGUGUGUUGCACUCUUUCUUUUUGAAAAUUAAAUUUUAUUGCAUAUUAUAUAAAGUGUCAAAUUUCUUGGAAAUGACAAGUGCUAAGCCAUAAUUAUAUGUAUCUUUCUCGUGAAACGAGAAUUCUCAUUCAAGAUAAAAUAAAAAGAACAAAGUGUAACUAAUAAGAUGAAAGAGUGCAACAUCCUCUCAAAUAGUACAACAUGCUCUUCAAAAUAGUGCAAUAUCUGUAUAAGUAGUGCAACAUAGGCAUUGUUAAUACACAUUUUACAUAAUUUUUACACUAAAUUACAUACAGUUUAAUAUAUUACGCGAAAAUAAUAUGCAACAUAUAAUAUAAUAAACUGUAUCUAAUUAAUUUAGUGUAAAAAUUAUACAAAAUGUGUAUUAACAAUGCAUAUUAUACAGUUGCACUAUUUUGAAGAGCUUGUUACACUAUUUGAGAGGAUGUUGCACUCUUUCAUCUUAUUAAUUAUUCUUUAUUCUUUUUAUUUUCUCUUGAAUGAGGCUUCUCGUUUCACGAGAAAGGUACAUGCAUGUAAUUAUGACUUAGCAGUUGUCAUUUCCAAGAAGUUUUACACUUCAUUUAAUAUGCAAUGAAAUUUAAUUUUCAAAAAGAAAGAGUGCAACACACAUCUAAAUGGUGCAACAUCCUCUCAUAAUAGUGCAACAUUUACACAAAUGGUGUAAAUAUAUGUAUAAAUAGUGUAAAAUAUGCACCGUUUGUACAUAUAUUAUAUAAUUUUUAUAAUAUAUUGUAAUAUAUUAUAUUAUUUUCGCGUAAUAUACUAAACUGUACGUAACUUAGUGUAAAAAUCAUGCAAAAUGUGUAUUAACAAUGCAUAUGUUGCACUAAUUAUACAGAUAUUGCACUAUUUUGAAGAGAUUGUUGCACUAUUUGAGAGGAUAUUGCACUCUUUCAUCUUAUUAAUUAAUCUUUAUUUUUUUUUAUUUUCUCUUGAAUGAGGUUUCUCGUUUCACGAGAAAGGUACAUGUAUAUAAUUAUGCCUUAGCAGUUGUAAUUUCCAAGAAGUUUGACACUUUGUUUAAUAUGCAAUAAAAUUUAAUUUUCAAAAAAAAAGAGUGCAAUUCACAUCUAAAUGGUGCAACAUUCUCUCAUAAUAGUGCAAUAUUUACAGAAAUGAUGUAAAUAUAUGUAUAAAUAAGUAUAAAAUAUGCACCGUUUAUACAUAUAUUGUAUAAUUUUUAUAGUAUGUUGUAAUAUUAUAUAUUAUUUUUUCGUAAUAUACUAAAUUAUGCGUAAUUUAGUGUAAAAAUUAUGCAAAAUGUGUAUUAACAAUGCAUAUGUUGCACUACUUAUACAGAUAUUGCACUAUUUUGAAGAAGAGAUUGUUGCACUAUUUGAGAGGAUAUUUCACUCUUUUCUAUUAAUUAAUCUUUAUUUUUUUUAUUUUCUCUUUAAUGAGGUUUCUUGUUUUACAAGAAAGGUACAUGUAUAUAAUUAUGGCUUAGCAGUUGUCAUUUCCAAGAAGUUUUAUACAUAAUGGCUUAGCAGUUGUAUUUUUCUAGACAUUUAAAGUAUAUAAUUUUUAUAAAUUUUGAAAGAGCGGUAGUUUGGUCAUCCUUCUGAAAAUUCGGCUCGAAUCUGCAAAAACUAAAAAGGUGGCCCACUUUUGCAAAAGUGCAAAAUUAGUGGAUUUUU